This 331-nucleotide ribosomal RNA is filed under the name Paravaejovis puritanus. RNAcentral's name for it is "partial 12S ribosomal RNA". The record is from RNAcentral. Lineage: Eukaryota; Metazoa; Arthropoda; Arachnida; Scorpiones; Vaejovidae.
UAAAAUUUAUAAAAUUAGGUAGUAAAGAAAUUUCUGAAACCUAAAGAAUUUGGCGGUAUUUUAAAUAAUUGGAGGAACCUGUUAUUUAAUUGACAAUCCACAACAUAUCUUACCUAAAUUUUAUUUGUAUAUCGUCGUUUUGAUAAUAUUUAAAAAUUAUGAUCAAUUUUAAUAAAUUUUUGAAAUUCAGGUCAAGGUGCAGUAUAUUUAGGUUAUAAUGGGUUACAAUAUAUUUAUAUAUAAUGGAUAUAAACUUGAAAAUUAUAUUGAAAGUGGAUUCAAAAGUAAAAUUAAAUUAAAAAGUUUAUUUGAUUAAUAAUUUAAAAUAUGC